This 26-nucleotide transfer RNA is filed under the name Mesopsylla eucta shikho. RNAcentral's name for it is "partial tRNA-Lys". Lineage: Eukaryota; Metazoa; Arthropoda; Insecta; Siphonaptera; Ceratophyllidae. The record is from RNAcentral.
CUCAUAAGAAGACUGAAGCCAGGACU